UCUCUCUGAAUCUGCGAACGGCUCCGCAAACCAGUUGUAACACGCGGCGAGCUGGCAUUGGGGUACUGUACGGGUUCGGCCCCACCUUCGGGCGGCGGCCGGCCCUGCGGUCCCCUUUGUCACAUGGACACCCCUGGCAAUUCUGAGGCUAAUACAAGAUUCGUACCACCUGGGCCGUCCCGCACCCACGCUCCCCCCCGGGUAACACCGGGGGGUGCGCGUGGGAUGUGGGCGACCCGGGGGCUGUGCCGGGUAACGCAGAUAACUAUGACUAGCGGCAAUGUUCAUGCAGGACCACCUUACCCAGGGUCGGUGCCCCCCUCCUUUCCCGUGCGUGCCUUCCCCUAACCGGGUCGGCACGCGUGGGUCAGGCAGCCGGGGGUCCUUCCCGGUGGCUCUCGCAAUAGGCUUCUGACCUAUCAACUAGACCGCAGGGCAAUGUCCACGCCGUGGUGACAACGGGUACAGAGGAUAAGGGUUUGAUCCUGGAGAGUGGGCCUGAGAGAUU
RNAcentral lists this ribosomal RNA (508 nucleotides) under Physarum pezizoideum. RNAcentral describes it as "partial small subunit ribosomal RNA". It matches the Rfam family "Eukaryotic small subunit ribosomal RNA", at positions 76 to 405 of the family's 1831-position model. The record is from RNAcentral. Lineage: Eukaryota; Evosea; Eumycetozoa; Physariida; Physaraceae.